Long non-coding RNA from Rhea pennata, 1365 nucleotides. RefSeq lists it as uncharacterized. The transcript is spliced from 4 exons. The record is from RefSeq and is a predicted model, not a curated record. Lineage: Eukaryota; Metazoa; Chordata; Aves; Rheiformes; Rheidae.
GGCCGCCGAGCGGCGGGGCGGGGUCGGGGCCGCCACGGCCGGGGGCCGGGGCGCUCGCUCCGAGCGUUGCCCCGAAGAGCGCAGCGGAGGACGCGAUGCCACGUGAGCUGAUUCACAAAGCUCUGUGCAUUAUGAAGACCACAGGAUGACUGGGAAUGGAGAACUCCAAAAAAUUUCCAGUACAAGAUGCUUCCCUAAGCACAACUUGAACAUACAGUUGCUUUCCUAGAAGAGCAGCUUCAGAGGAAAUAAUGGUCCCCUCCUGGUCCCGAGAGACAAAAGCUGUGAAUAGAAGCAGUGGUGGAAUUGCAUUGCAUCUCAUCUACUGUGGAGGAAAGACAAAGGAUUAAAUCUGUCUUCUGAUUGAAGCCUAUGACAGAGCUUCCAUCUGAGGUUGCUGUGCAUGAAAUCUUUCUCCUUUGAAGGAGCACAUCUGAAAUCUGUUAGGCAUUUUGGAAAGGUCAGGGUUUUUAAAGAUUAGCAAUGAAGAGAGAAAGAAUGAGAGUGAAAUGAAUAACGUAAAGAAAAGAGGAAGCUGGCAACAAAGUUCAGUUUAUUUCUGAAUUUGUUUAGGAAACUGGGGUUUUUUAUUUUUUUUUGAAAGCUAGUAUAGGCAUUCACCUGGCUUAGGCAUUUCUGUUAAAAUGAGAGUAAGAUUAUUUCUCCUUUUAUCUCCAUAACAUCAAACCAACAUCUAGAAUGGCUGUCACAAACAGUGUCUAUAGUACCACUGUGGCUAUUUACUUAAAACAAGUUUUGCAGAGAGGAACUAAAAUUUCCCCAUCAGUAGUACUUGUUAAAAUUUUUAGUGCACAUGUCUUGUGAUUACCAACCCCAUGCGUUGGUUAUCUAUGCUAUAAAUCUAAAAAUGAAAAAGAUGUAAAGCCUUUGGAAAAGGAGAGUAAAUGAGAACCACAAGUUGAGAUUGACAUCAGUUUAGACCAUGCUUAGUAUAUAUGCAAGAAGUCUGAUUUAUAACCCCAGUAUUGAAGUCUAGUCUCCAAACUCCUUAACAUCUAACAGCAUAACUCUUUUUUUUGGAUUUGGAUUUUUUUUUUGCUUUUCUUUUCCUUACCACAGUAAAACAAAACCAUAGCGUAGGUUUAUUGGGAUGUGGAAUUUCAAGGGGUUUAUUAAGUUAGGAAAGCAUGACUUCCUUUAUUAAGCCAAUUAAACUCCUUGUUAAUAUAAUAUCUCCUUUACAAGUCUCUAAGGAGUAGUCAACUGUUCUAAAGCAUGUUCUGGAUGAACAAGACAGUUGGAGAAAACUCAGCAGGUGAAGUUGUGAAGGGCUGCACUGCUGGAGAAUCCCCUGUGUCAUAGGAGGCCUCUUGCUUCCAAAUUUCCAUGGGAAGACUUUUUUUU